Non-coding RNA from Bemisia tabaci, 322 nucleotides. Lineage: Eukaryota; Metazoa; Arthropoda; Insecta; Hemiptera; Aleyrodidae. The record is from RefSeq and is a predicted model, not a curated record.
UCCGCCUUGUACCUUAGUUAUGGCCGUUUAGUUCUCGCUUUUAAACAGCUUUCCAUUGCAGCCUUUGUGACAAUUCCUCAACGCAUUUCCUCGCUAACCGCCAAUCACAGGGUCCGUCUAUGCGCCUCAAGAAGAAGUGCAAUGCGACAUCGACCUCCUUAGCCUCUCCUCCGAGUAACAAUUCUGUACAAUUUCCAUUGGAAACGUCCAUGACCUGCUGUAUGUGUUCAUCCACCCUCUAAUGAAUUGGGACGCUUACACCAAACAAAUACGUUUUUGUUUUGGGCAAGUUUCUUUCACAUAUUCUCUCCUUGCAUGAACU